AACGUAGGAGACAAACGUUAUCCGGAGUUACUGGGCGUAAAGGGCGUGCAGGCGGUCUGUUAAGUCUGGCGUGAAAGCUCUCGGCUAAACCGGGAGAGGUCGUUGGAUACUGACGGACUAGAGGACGGUAGAGGCGUGUGGAAUUCCGGGUGUAGUGGUGAAAUGCGUAGAGAUCCGGAGGAACACCAGUGGCGAAGGCGACACGCUGGGCCGUACCUGACGCUAAGACGCGACAGCAUGGGGAGCGAACGGGAUUAGAAACCCCGGUAGUCCAUGCCGUAAACGAUGCCAGCUAGGUGUUCAAGACGCGCAAGCGGCUGGGGUACCGAAGCUAACGCGAUAAGCUGGCCGCCUGGGGAGUACGGUCGCAAGGCUAAA
Molecule: ribosomal RNA, 378 nt
Filed under: uncultured bacterium
Lineage: Bacteria
Description: bacterial SSU rRNA
Rfam family: Bacterial small subunit ribosomal RNA
Source: RNAcentral